UUUUUGAAAGAAUUAUAGAUGUUGCUUUGCGGGCAAGAAGUGAACCCCAAUAAGAGUCACAAAAUUUUAAAGAGAGUUAUAUGGAUAAAAUUGCACCAGCUUGGACUAAGGAAGAGACAGUUCAAAAUGAAAAAACCUUCCAAGCCCCCAACUUCCUACGGGCAGGAAGCAGGCUGAGAGAGUUAUUUAACUGUAAAAGGAAGGAAGGCAGUUUCUUUUCUUUUUUUUUUUUGGUGGUGUUAGUAACUUUUAUUGAAGCGGCAGUGUACAGCAGCAGAGGUACU
This 284-nucleotide long non-coding RNA is filed under the name Homo sapiens (human). RNAcentral's name for it is "non-protein coding lnc-PTEN-4:1". Lineage: Eukaryota; Metazoa; Chordata; Mammalia; Primates; Hominidae. The record is from RNAcentral.